This 504-nucleotide ribosomal RNA is filed under the name uncultured bacterium. RNAcentral describes it as "partial 16S ribosomal RNA". It matches the Rfam family "Bacterial small subunit ribosomal RNA", at positions 29 to 507 of the family's 1533-position model. The record is from RNAcentral.
ACGAACGCUGGCGGCGUGCCUAAUACAUGCAAGUAGAACGCACAGUUUAUACCGUAGCUUGCUACACCAUAGACUGUGAGUUGCGAACGGGUGAGUAACGCGUAGGUAACCUGCCUGGUAGCGGGGGAUAACUAUUGGAAACGAUAGCUAAUACCGCAUAAUAUUGAUUAUUGCAUGAUAAUUGAUUGAAAGAUGCUAUUGCAUCACUACCAGAUGGACCUGCGUUGUAUUAGCUAGUAGGUGAGGUAACGGCUCACCUAGGCGACGAUACAUAGCCGACCUGAGAGGGUGAUCGGCCACACUGGGACUGAGACACGGCCCAGACUCCUACGGGAGGCAGCAGUAGGGAAUCUUCGGCAAUAGACGAAAGUCUGACCGAGCAACGCCGCGUGAGUGAAGAAGGUUUUCGGAUCGUAAAGCUCUGUUGUAAGAGAAGAACGGGUGUGAGAGUGGAAAGUUCACACUGUGACGGUAUCUUACCAGAAAGGGACGGCUAACUACGUG